This 554-nucleotide ribosomal RNA is filed under the name uncultured bacterium. RNAcentral describes it as "partial 16S ribosomal RNA". It matches the Rfam family "Bacterial small subunit ribosomal RNA", at positions 355 to 900 of the family's 1533-position model. The record is from RNAcentral.
UAGGGAAUCUUCCACAAUGGACGCAAGUCUGAUGGAGCAACGCCGCGUGAGUGAAGAAGGUUUUCGGACCGUAAAGCUCUGUUGUUGGUGAAGAAGGAUAGAGGUAGUAACUGGCCUUUAUUUGACGGUAAUCAACCAGAAAGUCACGGCUAACUACGUGCCAGCAGCCGCGGUAAUACGUAGGUGGCAAGCGUUGUCCGGAUUUAUUGGGCGUAAAGCGAGCGCAGGCGGAAGAAUAAGUCUGAUGUGAAAGCCCUCGGCUUAACCGGGGAAUUGCAUCGGAAACUGUUUUUCUUGAGUGCAGAAGAGGAGAGUAGAACUCCAUGUGUAGCGGUGGAAUGCGUAGAUAUAUGGAAGAAUACCAGUGGCGAAGGCGGCUCUCUGGUCUGCAACUGACGCUGAGGCUCGAAAGCAUGGGUAGCGAACAGGAUUAGAUACCCUGGUAGUCCAUGCCGUAAACGAUGAGUGCUAAGUGUUGGGAGGCUUCCGCCUCUCAGUGCUGCAGCUAACGCAUUAAGCACUCCGCCUGGGGAGUACGACCGCAAGGUUGAAAC